GUACAUUUAUUGGAGGUGCCGAAGUAGAGAGUUCAGAACCUGCUUUGCAGGGUUUUUCCUUUACGCAGACCUUGAGAGACACACACAUCGUUAGAGAACGUACAGCUGAACCUCACAAUCUGUCCUUCUGAUGAAGAGUUCACAGCAAGGUUAGUAGGUUUUGUUUGAAAAGAAGGAUGAAAUAAUUCUGGCAUUGAAGUGACAAGCAGCUGGAAUCCAAAAGUGAAAGGAAAUGAAACUGAUGCUGAAAAACAUUGACCCCAAACAACGGAAGAGUGGGACUGAAUUGGUCAGUUUGCAACACUGUACGUUGUGGUACUACUUACCUAAACCGUUUAAGGUGUAAUCUGAGAACCUGAGGUAGUCGACACACCAUAAGCUGCUUCUGAGCUUCUAGAUAACUGAUGCAACCAAAGACAAGAAGACAUAGUUAUUUAACAAAAGAAAUUAUACACCUAAUUUCUGUUCUCUGAAGCAACAUAUCCAAUACUCUUAUCCCAAACAGUAAGUGGAUCCAUCGUCACACUAGGGAAAGGACAAGCAGUAAGACAACAUAAAUAAAAUGUCAAGAAGUGAAGUGAGUCAACCUGGAAAAUGCAGAUAAUACAGCAGAGGACAAUUAAUUUAUGCUAACAUUCAAUAUUUAGGAAAGUAAGUUAAAAGCAGCAGCUCUUCCACGCUGUAAUGGCAACACAUUAGGUAUCAAUUUGUAAUGCAGCCUUGUAAAAGCCAGCUCAAGCUGUUUAUAAAGAGUGUCACAUCGUUUGAGUUCUUCCUCCAAAGGACCUCCACCCUUCCAUGAUCCAUGUGGAUGAAUAACUUUUAUUAGCAGUUCAACCUAUGCAGUAGUCAAACUCCAUUUAGACUGUAAGAAGCAUAGUUCAUAAAGGCUAUAAGGAAAUAACCAGUAAAUACCAAGUGCGUGUGUGAGGCUAAAGACAUGUUCACCUAAGUAUGUUCAAUGCAAUGAAGUACAGUACAAUCCUGGAGUAAUUACCUGAGUUUUCUACUGUUAAUGUAUUUAUUGGCUUAUAAGUUGCAGUUGACCACUAAUUCAAGCAGCUCUAACCUCACUGUUCUAGCAAAGAUGCAUUCUGAAAUUAAGUUAAAUUUUAACUGGGCUCAGAUAGAUAGCUUUGACAGAACUUUCAUAAGCAUCCAACAUGUUCCCACCCCCUUCCCCAACAAUUAAACUUUCCCACCAAAAAGAUUAACAGAACUCAAAAUUUUUAUACAGGACCAACUGUCAGGAUACCGUUAUUUGUCAGCUCAGAAUAACAGCCCAGUGUGAUGAGACACCACCAUUCAGGUUUUACAGUAAAUGGAGUAUCAUGUAUGUCCCUAAAUUUGCACCACGAGGGUAAAUAAUUGCCAAAUUAAAUCUCUAUAAGCAUGCUUCCUAUUUAGGAAAAUACCACAAGUUGUUUGGAACAACUAAUACAAAGAUGUAGUAAUAAAGGAAUGAAAAUCCACGAGGGAUCCAAAUAUUGUUAUUUCACAGGCACGCCUUUGUGUUGCUGUUCUACAUAGAUUCAGUGUAGUUCAGUUAGGUUAGUAAGCCUACACAAGUGUAAAAAUACAUUGUUCUGUUCAAGAGCUCCUUUAUUUUCCGCUGAAGCUGUUAUGUAAUUAUUAACCCUGCUUUGCCUGUUAUUUCAUGAUCAUUUAUAUAAGGACAGAUCUGCCACCUAACAGUACCUUCCUCCUAGGUGUUCCUGUGAGUAAUUAUUUAAUGCAUUCAUUAGCUACGACAGCUUAUACACAAUCUAUGCAUUAGCUGUAUCUAAUGUGCGUAUGUAUUUGUGCACCAGGAUACACGUUUAGCAGUGGAGUUAGGAAAGCUAUUAGCUGCCUUAAGUUGUAAGAAGGAAACGCCACUGCCUUGUUCUUAGAAAAUAAAACUUCGAACUUACAUGGCAGAAAGAGGAGAAUCUUCUGUUUUAAUUUACACUGACAGAAGCUUCUUUUGUAAGUGCUAACAUCUGGCAACGUUUCAAAGCCACAAACUAUUAGUAAUUCAGAGCUGGAAUCUAGACUUGGAGACAAAAUGAUAUGUUUGGCCACAGUUCAAGCUAACUCCAGCAUAAACACAGAAUGACUAAUAGAUUUCUGCUGUACAAAUGGGGGGUU
Molecule: long non-coding RNA, 2130 nt
Organism: Grus americana (Whooping crane)
Lineage: Eukaryota; Metazoa; Chordata; Aves; Gruiformes; Gruidae
Exons: 5
Source: RefSeq, a predicted model, not a curated record